Molecule: non-coding RNA, 92 nt
Organism: Termitomyces sp. Mi166#008
Lineage: Eukaryota; Fungi; Basidiomycota; Agaricomycetes; Agaricales; Lyophyllaceae
Source: the annotation of a GenBank genome assembly
GCCCGCCUAGCUCAAUCGGCCAGAGCGUCAGACUUUUACGGUGAAUUGACCGAUUCAUCUGAAGGCUGCGAGUUCGACCCUCGCGGUGGGCU